GUUUUGGUGGGGCCGGGGUGGGGGUUAGGUUUGUGUUUUGCCUGAUGGAGAGACAGGAUUUGUCCCGUGUCUCCCAGUUCUUUGGGCGUCGGGUUCUGUGUGGAGGAAGAGGUCCGUUUCAGUUACAGGCUUGUGUUCUGCCUACAGCGACAGGGUUUGACGAGACUGUUUGAGCUCUGCCUGCGGGGAAAAAAAAAAUACAGACUGGUGUUUUAAGCAGCUGGGCUGGGUGGUGUUUGUGUGAAGGAGAUUGCUGGGUGUAACCCCCCAAGUGGGGAGGGGGUGCAGCAGACCGACUUCAUGGUAUAUUCACUGUCACAGCUGACUGGGAAAGUUUGGAAGGACAGAACAAACAAAUGGCGUUUUCCUACCGAGGCUACUCUUCAAGCCCGAUGACUUCGGAGACCAUUUUGACGCAGAGAUGGGGACAAAGAAGUUGGGACGGGUCUGUCUGGUGAGUCUUCCUUUCUAACACUCAACUGUUUAGUCCUUUCUGUCUGUCUGUCUGUCUGUCAUGCUGUUUGUCCAUCAAUUUUAAUUACAUUUCAAUUAAACGGGCUUGGCUGGCAUGGGAAACAUUUAAUCACAUUCCUGAAGCAAGUGGAAACAUUUAAAUGGUGAAAGGUAGCAAAAGCAAAAAAAAUCCCCCCAAAAAAUGAUUUGUAAAAUGUAUGGGCAUGAGUGUAAAGGGAUACUGGCAUUUCACAUUCUACGUUAUUAGCUAUGUAUGGGGUUGCAUCAAUGUACAAAUAGUAAUGAGCACGAAUCACAAGGUAAAAUAAAAAAAGAGAUAAAUAUUGGUUAGACAAAGACAAUGUCCUUCUCCCUGUCUUUUGUCUUCUUGCUGCUGUAAAUGACAAAGGUCCCAUAUGCUAAAACAGCUGCUUAUUUUGGCCUUGACCAAUGUGGUCAGCGUAAUUACACAGUCCCUGUUAAGACUCGGGCCUUCUGUGAUAGGCUGGUUCAUUACAUAAGGGUCAGAGGUCAAUGAUAGUCUCUAUAAUCAUGACAGUGUGUUCACUAACCCUAAGG
This is a long non-coding RNA of Esox lucius (northern pike), 1032 nucleotides long. The record is from Ensembl. Lineage: Eukaryota; Metazoa; Chordata; Actinopteri; Esociformes; Esocidae.